Camelina sativa (false flax) is the source of this 1646-nucleotide RNA transcript. It is a transcript of the gene named exosome complex component RRP41 homolog, with no coding region annotated. NCBI's taxonomy places the organism in Eukaryota, Viridiplantae, Streptophyta, Magnoliopsida, Brassicales, Brassicaceae. The record is from RefSeq and is a predicted model, not a curated record.
CAUUUGAUGAAGCAUUGGACUUGAGUGAGACAUCGUCGUCAUCGUCAUCAAAGAGGUCCUUUCCGUCUCUCUCAUUCUUGUUCCCAGCGAAACAAAUUUUGCUGAAAAGAAAAAGAAAUCGCCAUGGAAGACGUUAACCAGUUGUUCGAUGCUGCUUUCGAGUUCGCACACUAUCCCGGCAACUAACGCGAUUGUUCCCGCGUGCAAAACGAAGAAUCGGUUAAGAAGUUCCUCGAUCGCUUCCCUCUUCCCGUUAUUUUCAAAGCUUUACAAACUGAUCCGGACAUCCCAGGUUUUGAGAACACGCUUGUGAAUUGCUUGGAGAGGCUGUUUAAGACUAAGUAUGGCGCCUCACUCAUUCCUCAGUAUAUGCCUAUUCUACAAGUUGGUCUCAAAGCGAAUUCUGCAGUAGUGAAAUCUCUGGCUUGCAACGUCGGGAAGCCAUCUUUAAUUAGCUGCUUAUGAUCACUCACGUUCUUAUUGUAACGUUGGGAAGCCAUCUUUGAGUAAUGUUGAUUCUCUUAUUGAUGAACUUGAUGUUAGUACCAAAAAGCUUGUAAAAUGAUGAACAUUAGGAAAACUUUAGCUUGUUGCAUUGCAGCUGCCAAGUAAAUUGUAGGGGAUAGCUUUGAAUCACGGUGACUAUCUAAUCUUUUAAAUGAUUUGGCCACUGUUCUGAUUACCAACGAUGAUGAUGGAUCCGAGAUGAUGGAUUACCACAUACAGCUUCAUAGUGGUUCGUCUAAGCUCACUUUGAUGUAUCACUGGUUUCAAUUAGAUGGUGGCCGAUUCAAUGAGAUGAGGCAAAUCGUAGCUGAAGUUGGAGUAGUUUCUAAGGCUGACGGCUUUGUUUUUAGUUCUGCUGUUUACGAGAUGGGAAAUACCAAAGUAAUUGCAGUUGUCUAUGGUCCAAGAGAGAUUCAAAAUAAGAGCCUACAAAAAAAGAACGAUCAUGCAUUUGUAUGUAUAUGCUUUCCUGAGUUGCCAGAGUUUCUGCAGGAGGUUUUUUCUAUGUGAUAAGUUCCCUAAUUGAUAAAUAAAGAUGAAUCGGCAUCUCUCUUGCCUGAUUUUAAUUACUGAUAGGUUUCAGCGAUGGAAAUAAAACACUUUCCUCAUCUGCAUAACGAAAAGCUUCCCCCUUGUAUUGUCUAUAUUCAACAAAUUGGUGGGUCUGCAGUUUCACGUUUUAAAAAUUGAUGGGAAAUAUAUCCUUCUUAUGCAGGCAUUUCACGUUUGCGCUUGAAAUAUCAUAUAAAUGAGGUAGGCAUCCCAAUUGAAAUUGCGCAGAGAAUCACUUUUGAGGAAAGGGGAUGGAUCCAAGGCGCACACUGUGCUUAAACCGGUUCCAGGUCGGGUCUCAAUAAUAACCGGGUCAGGUCUUCUUCUUCUAGGAGAGACAACAAGUUCGAAGAUGUUGUGAUUCAAGAACACGCUCUUGCUGCUGCUGCCAUCUUGUUCCGACAGCAGAAUGGCGGAGGAUCUUUGCCGUUUGCGGAGAAGCUGGCAACUUUUUAAUGGCUUUCUCGGAGAGUCUAUAACCGUGAAGGGGAGAGAGGGACCAUUGCUUUAAGGGAAAAGUGGUUAGACCAUCUCCGCGCCAUUCUGCUGUAAUUAAGUAAUAAAGGACCUCUAUUUUUUUAAAAAUU